This 253-nucleotide ribosomal RNA is filed under the name uncultured bacterium. RNAcentral describes it as "partial 16S ribosomal RNA". It matches the Rfam family "Bacterial small subunit ribosomal RNA", at positions 524 to 776 of the family's 1533-position model. The record is from RNAcentral.
UACGGAGGGUGCAAACGUUAUCCGGAUUCACUGGGUUUAAAGGGUGCGUAGGAGGGCAGGUAAGUCAGUGGUGAAAUCUCCGAGCUUAACUUGGAAACUGCCGUUGAUACUAUCUGCCUUGAAUAUUGUGGAGGUGAGCGGAAUAUGUCAUGUAGCGGUGAAAUGCUUAGAUAUGACAUAGAACACCAAUUGCGAAGGCAGCUCGCUACACAUAUAUUGACUCUGAGGCACGAAAGCGUGGGGAUCAAACAGG